CUCUGGUGAGCUGAAUCUUUCCAUAACUAUCUGAGCAAGAGCUACCUGAAUAAUUCAGAAUGAUUCAGGAAUUCACCCAUACGAAGUGCUUGUCCUGGAUGCUGGUGUUUAGCAAUAUUGGGAUUCAGAUACACAUUGUGAGGUAGUGGCCACUGAUAUAAAAGUGCUGUAAAUUGAGGAAAUGGGAUUAGACUCGAACAACAGCAGCAGUAACAACAGGUCCAGCCUAUUUCAACGUACUUCUUCCUUUUCCCACAAAAUGGACAGUUAUUAACAUCGAAGAGACUGUUAAACUGGGUGUGGGGAGGAGCUUCUAAAAACUCUCUCCACUAAAUGGAAAGGGAGCACAAAAUGCCAUUAAAAUGUAUCACUGCAUACUUCAUCUUCAGCCUCAUUCUGCAACCAUUAUCUAUGUGAGUUACUUCUGAUUUACACUAGGACAGAAAUAACAGCAACAUCAGCAGAAGCAAUGAGGAAGACAGGAGAACAAGAAUGAGGGAUACUCAAACAGCAGAAGGAUCCCUACACAUGACCCAACCUCAGGUCUCUAUAGUGUAAUCAGAUAUUCUGCCACGCACAGGACCUAAUAAUAUAUGGGGGGGACAGGACACAAUGGAGAAUGGGGCAAGUGCCCAGGCUCCCCCUCAGCUCCUGAUUGGGCCAAAUUUGAAUGGCAUUGCAACCAUGUGAGCCACAUCACAACACAACUCACUCAAGAUUGGCCCAUUGUGAUGGAAGGGAGGCUGAGAAAAAUGUGAAUGGUGUUUUAAUCUCAUGUGACACUUCGGCAGCCCUUCCAGAGUCCAUGGGCAGUGGGCUCCUCCAAACUCUGGGGAGAAGUAGAGCAAGGGACAGUGGGAACCCUCUCCCACCAGUCAUCAAGUGGUGUGAGUACUGGAUCCAGGCUUUAGUGUUUUCUGGGGAAGAGAAGAAGCAAGAGGAGAGGAUGGGGCCUGAGGCUCCCAGUACUACCUACCUCCUGGUGUGGAUAAUGCUCUUCAGUCUGACCACCUCUCUGAGUAAGAGCUCGGUGGUGGGUGUGGGAAAACAAGACUGUGGGGCUGCAUUCAGAAGGGAAAGCUUGGAGCUGGAUGCUGGGCAAUGUGGCGGGAAGAGUGCAGCAGUAAGGGAGUUUGUGUGGAGCUGGGUGCAGAGGCAGCAAGAGAUAGCUCAGGACUCGGUAUGGGGGGAAGUGGCAGGGGAAGAGCUUGUGGCUGGGUGCAGGGCAUCAGAGGGAUAGCUCCAAGCCUUCUCUUUAGAAUAUUUUGGGUUACUGGCAGCAAGGGUGAACAGUGUGGUAUUCCCCUUAUUAAAACAUGUGCAAUCUGUAUUAAAAAUUUAUAUUAUUUGUAUAUCUAUAUUAUAUAUAAAACAGCAGAAAGAGCCCAACGUAAACUUCAUCAGGCCACAGUCCUUUCCCUGAUCAGUGCAAGCCAGAGACCCACCUUCCAAAAUGGAGUCUAAUUUUUGGUCUCCAUAGCCACCCCCACCACAUUCAUAUAACAAUACGAGCU
This is a long non-coding RNA of Mauremys reevesii (Reeves's turtle), 1514 nucleotides long. RefSeq lists it as uncharacterized. The record is from RefSeq and is a predicted model, not a curated record. The transcript is spliced from 5 exons. NCBI's taxonomy places the organism in Eukaryota, Metazoa, Chordata, Testudines, Geoemydidae.